RNAcentral lists this small RNA (591 nucleotides) under Pongo abelii (Sumatran orangutan). Its description in RNAcentral is "retained intron". Lineage: Eukaryota; Metazoa; Chordata; Mammalia; Primates; Hominidae. The record is from RNAcentral.
GGAGGAGUGCCCGUUGUCAGCCACCCACAGUUGUCGCUAUCGGAAAGUGGUUUGGAAGAUUGGCUAACAUCCAGGUGUGAGGAAUCAUUAGCAGGGAGGCCAAGUUUGGGGAGCUUGAGAGGAGUUAUGGACCAAGAGGAGGGUUUUUUUGAGAAUCCAGAGGCCCUUAUUGUCUGCUUCCUUUCUCAGCUGAACCCCCACCCCCAGAGCCCCCAGCAGGGCCCUCCGAGGUGGAGCAGCAGCUACAAGCGGAGGCUGAGCACCUGCGGAAGGAGCUGGAGAGUCUGGCAGGACAGCUCCAAGCCCAGGUGCAAGACAAUGAGGGCUUGAGUCGCCUGAACCGGGAGCAGGAGGAGAGGCUGCUGGAACUGGAGCGGGCGGCCGAGCUCUGGGGGGAGCAGGCAGAGGCGCGCAGGCAAAUCCUGGAGACCAUGCAGAACGACCGCACCACCAUCAGCCGCGCACUCUCCCAGAACCGGGAGCUCAAGGAGCAGCUGGCUGAGCUGCAGAGCGGAUUCGUAAAGCUGACUAAUGAGAACAUGGAGAUCACCAGCGCACUGCAGUCGGAGCAGCACGUCAAGAGGGAGCUGG